Molecule: ribosomal RNA, 301 nt
Filed under: uncultured bacterium
Lineage: Bacteria
Description: partial 16S ribosomal RNA
Rfam family: Bacterial small subunit ribosomal RNA
Source: RNAcentral
CAGUAGCCGCGGUAAUACGAAGGGUGCAAGCGUUACUCGGAAUUACUGGGCGUAAAGCGUGCGUAGGUGGUGGUUUAAGUCCGUUGUGAAAGCCCUGGGCUCAACCUGGGAAUUGCAGUGGAUACUGGAUCACUAGAGUGUGGUAGAGGAUAGUGGAAUUUCCGGUGUAGCAGUGAAAUGCGUAGAGAUCGGAAGGAACAUCUGUGGCGAAGGCGACUAUCUGGGCCAACACUGACACUGAGGCACGAAAGCGUGGGGAGCAAACAGGAUUAGAGACCCCGGUAGUCCCUGUCUCUUAUAC